UACGUAGGGUGCGAGCGUUAAUCGGAAUUACUGGGCGUAAAGCGUGCGCAGGCGGUUCGUUGAGUCGGCGGUGAAAGCCCCGGGCUUAACCUGGGAAUGGCCGUUGAAACUGGCGAACUGGAGUGUGGCAGAGGGGGGUGGAAUUCCGCGUGUAGCGGUGAAAUGCGUAGAUAUUGGGAGGAACACCAGUGGCGAAGGCGGCUCACUGGACCGGUUCUGACGCUGAGGUGCGAAAGCGUGGGGAGCAAACAGG
Molecule: ribosomal RNA, 253 nt
Filed under: uncultured bacterium
Lineage: Bacteria
Description: partial 16S ribosomal RNA
Rfam family: Bacterial small subunit ribosomal RNA
Source: RNAcentral